RNAcentral lists this transfer RNA (71 nucleotides) under Pyrodictium sp. RNAcentral describes it as "tRNA-Phe". It matches the Rfam family "tRNA". Rfam says of the family: Transfer RNA (tRNA) molecules are approximately 80 nucleotides in length. Their secondary structure includes four short double-helical elements and three loops (D, anti-codon, and T loops). Lineage: Archaea; Thermoproteati; Thermoproteota; Thermoprotei; Desulfurococcales; Pyrodictiaceae. The record is from RNAcentral.
GCCGCCGUAGCUCAGCGGGAGAGCGCCCGGCUGAAGACCGGGCGGUCCGGGGUUCGAAUCCCCGCGGCGGC